AGAGAGAGACAUGCGCGCAUAUCAAUAAGCGGAGGAAAAGAAACUAACAAGGAUUCCCUCAGUAACGGCGAGUGAAGCGAGAAGAGCUCAAAUUUGAAAUCUUCAAGGUUCUACCUUGACGAAUUGUAGUUUAAAGAAGUGUUUUCUGUUGAAGUUUUGGUAAAAGUUCUUUGGAAUAGGACAUCAUAGAGGGUGAGAAUCCCGUAUUUGACCAUUAUUUUCAGCUUUGUGAUACACUUUCAAAGAGUCGGAUUGUUUGGGAAUGCAGUCCAAAAUGGGUGGUAAAUUUCAUCUAAAGCUAAAUAUUGGCGAGAGACCGAUAGCGAACAAGUACCGUGAGGGAAAGAUGAAAAGAACUUUGAAAAGAGAGUUAAACAGUACGUGAAAUUGUCAAAAGGGAAGCGUUUGACACCAGUGUUGUUUUCUCGAAAAUCAAUUAAAAAUGGCUCGAUUUUGUAUUGUUGAGACCUUAAAAGCUCACUGUACAUUUUUCGUGUCUUUUUUAAUGCACUUUUCGUUUAACAAGUCAACAUCAGUUUCUUUUGUUGUAAAAGGGUCAUUGGAAGGUGGCUUUCUUUUCGGAGAAAGUGUUUAUAGCCUUUGGCCUCUGCAAUCGGGAGAGACUGAGGUCUGCAGCGUAGACUCUUCGGGGUUAGAUACAUUUGUGCUAAGUUAUAGCUUUUUAUAGACAACUUGUUGACUAUAAUUAGUCUUGUAGCUUACUCGCUUAUGCUAUUUUACCUACGCUUAGGAUGUUGAAGAUGUAGCACAUCAU
This 775-nucleotide ribosomal RNA is filed under the name uncultured Neocallimastigales. RNAcentral's name for it is "partial large subunit ribosomal RNA". It matches the Rfam family "Eukaryotic large subunit ribosomal RNA", at positions 23 to 634 of the family's 3401-position model. The record is from RNAcentral. Lineage: Eukaryota; Fungi; Neocallimastigomycota; Neocallimastigomycetes; Neocallimastigales.